CCUACGGGAGGCAGCAGUGGGGAAUUUUGGACAAUGGGGGCAACCCUGAUCCAGCCAUUCCGCGUGAGUGAAGAAGGCCUUCGGGUUGUAAAGCUCUUUCGCAAGGGAAGAAAACUUAUGAUCGAAUAAAUCAUGAGGUUGACGGUACCUUGAUAAGAAGCACCGGCUAACUACGUGCCAGCAGCCGCGGUAAUACGUAGGGUGCGAGCGUUAAUCGGAAUUACUGGGCGUAAAGCGUACGCAGGCGGUUUUGUAAGUCGGAUGUGAAAUCCCCGGGCUCAACCUGGGAACUGCGUUCGAAACUGCAAGGCUAGAGUGUGUCAGAGGGGGGUAGAAUUCCACGUGUAGCAGUGAAAUGCGUAGAGAUGUGGAGGAAUACCAAUGGCGAAGGCAGCCCCCUGGGAUAACACUGACGCUCAUGCACGAAAGCGUGGGGAGCAAACAGGGUAUAGACUACCCGUGGUACGUCCACCGACCCUAAACGAUGUACUAACUUAGUUGUUAGGUAGUAAGUAAACUCUAUAGUAACGUAACGUAGUACGUACGUCGUAGUAAGUCGACCGCGGUAGGGGUAGGUACGGUCGAGAAGUAAUUAAACAGAAAGUAGUGGACGCGNGAGAGNGACGACGACGACGACGAGGGAGAGG
RNAcentral lists this ribosomal RNA (647 nucleotides) under uncultured bacterium. Its description in RNAcentral is "bacterial SSU rRNA". The stretch from base 1 to 548 matches the Rfam family "Bacterial small subunit ribosomal RNA", at positions 338 to 873 of the family's 1533-position model. The record is from RNAcentral.